Molecule: long non-coding RNA, 443 nt
Filed under: Drosophila guanche
Lineage: Eukaryota; Metazoa; Arthropoda; Insecta; Diptera; Drosophilidae
Source: RNAcentral
GUAAGUAGAGAUCAUGACAGUUUGUCCUAGAGGAUAGUUAGCAUUAUUUUUCUCCCUAACAGGUUAUAGUUUAUCUGAUUUUGAUAAGCAUCUUACUUUGGUUGAAGCUAAGUCCUGGAAGUCCUGACAGUUCCAGUGCCCUGGGCACGACUACACCUACAGCCGGAACUGCAGUUCCUAGGAUACCACAGGAUUCCCCAAAGGAGAUAAUCGAGAUCCUCCCCAAAUCACCCACAAAAGACUCCAAGCUAUUGACUGUUCUAAAAGGAUCACCAGCCAGGGAUAAUCUCAUUGCGGAUUCUCCUACUCCCGCAACUAACGUCGAGCAAGCAACCUUCGAUUGUUAUUCGCUUUACGGCGAUGACUGUUUCCUUUUACCAGAUUCUAUUGGACCCAGACUCAGUGCCAAGCUGUUGAAAAUUCUAGCGAAGACCUAGUCCUAG